GGGCCAAAAAAAAGAGUAGCAUUUGACAUUGGAAAAAAAAAGUGAGAAAGGGUAUACGCAAGUAUGACAUAAGGAGAGAGAAAGAAGCCAAAGAGCGAAUUGGAGGAGUCAUGUGAAAGGAUAGCAUCCAUCCCUCUGCGGCGUCAAUCGAUUCCAGUUCAAGCAACACAAGGCAAGACAACGUUAACGUAUGCAGAGGUCGUGGAGUGGUAGUGGCAGUGUUUGGCGGAAGAAACCAUCCUUGGACUUGGACUUGGACAUGGACACCGACCAACACCUACCCACAUACGAUCCCCUCUCCCACGUUGCCCAGAGACACCUCUCUCGUCUCAGAUCAGCACAAAACGCUGUCCAUCUCAUCCCUCUCCUCGUUCUCUUCUGCGCCGUCGUUCUCUGGUUCUUCUCUGCUCCAACCUCUCCGCCAUAUCAUCAUUAAAGAUUUCUAUUUCGGACUAUGGUCAACGCCUGCAUAAAAAUUGCUGCUCUGUCUUUCCUUCACUUUUCACGACGCUCUCAGCAACGACGAACAAUACCUGAACUGCUUACGGAAUCCUCUGUUUAUUAGAUUGUCUUUCAAUAGAUUGCUUGUAUGUUUAUUCAUCCUCAACCCUCUUCAAUUUUUACUCUAUUACACGACUUUGUUGAAUCCUCCUGACUUAAGCGGAGAGCAAAUUAUAGUGAUUAUAGACAAAUUAAUUAUGUGAUUAGUUUUACAAAAAGAAAAGAAUAUACCUGCGGGUUAACAUGAUUGCUAUGUCCGAGAAAUUUAGGGGUAAAAGUUAAUGUUUAUUUUGGUUGAUUUCAAGUGUUUUGGAAUGCAACUAUUUUAGUGUUACUGUUUUAUGAUAUCAGAGGAGUUCUUUCCUAAUAACAAUAAAUUUGAGUGAUUCCACUGUUAAUCUGUAUUAAUUGGUAAAAAUACACUAGAUUUUUUUUUUUGGCAAGCCAAUCAUAAAGGGAGAAGUUCCCAGAAAGCAUUUAAUGUACUCAUUUAAGAUUGGAUUAUGCUGUGAUUAUAACCUAUUGAAUGAUGAACAUAAAGAUCUCUCUUUUUAUACCCAUUGAAUGCAGUGUGUACAUAUAUUGCAGAUUGAACAGAAAUGAAACUAUAUAGUUUAUUCUUCGUCAAUACACAAUCUUUCAAUGUGGUUGCCAUUGCUUUGCUUUUCUUCUUUAUAGACUCUCACAAGUAAAAUUUGUAUGCUCCAGUAAUGGCUGGAGUCUGACUAGCUUAGGUAUGACAAUAUUGUUCCUGACAGAACACACCACUGGGUUCUCCCACUGCAAAGCGGAACCCACAAGGUUUGCACGUAUGGUUAGUGGAAACACACGGGGCCAUCUUUCAGCGCCAUAGGACCUGAAGGCUUCUUCCACAGAAGGGUCUUCAGACUUGAUUGCUCUGGCAAGCUUUUUGGCAAGAACCACUGAGUCUUCCAGUGCACAACAAGCUCCUUGCCCGAGAUUUGGGGUCAUUGGAUGCCACGCAUCUCCAACCACCACAACUCUUCCAGCAGAAGCACCUGGGCUUAUGGCUGGCCAGAGCCAUCUGUCUACCAAUGGAGUCUUGAUCACAGUAUCAUCUGGUGUAGAAUCCACUAUGUUCAAUAGCUCUGAAGGCCAAUCCUUCACUAGUUCCUUAGCUUGGUUCUUCAGCACCAUUGAGUCUGUUAUUUUUGGACCUGUCAUCGAACAUACACAAUUUUUUUCCAUGAGAUGAUGGUAUAUCAUACUAGUUGCAAUUACAAAGUCAGUGAUUUAACCGUGCAUUUUGUUCGUAUUAACAACCUGGAGAGGGACUAUUGAAGCAGAUGAACCAGUAAACUUUGGUCGGAGAAACAGGAACAAAGCCCGCGCGCAACCCUCUUCCGUAGAUAUAAUUCACUCUUGGUCCAAAAGGUUGUCCAUCAGAAUAAGACGCAAGUCCUCGGAAAGCACAGUGACCAACGUACUUGGGCUCAGGAAAUCCCAUCCAUUUGGCUAUAGGUGAUCGAAUUCCAUCGCACCCUAUCACAGUCUGUUUAGAGAUUAAAUCGUUUUUCUGUUCAUAAUCGACCAUUCUGUCUUAAGUUCCAACAUUUAGUAAAUCAUAGGACACUGUAACACUAAGAUUUUAAUUGUGGCCAGUCAUUUCAUUAACUAAACAUGUGAUGAAUGAUGUCCACUGCAUGCAGCUAGAAAAUUUAGUGCUAUGCUAAUAGUUACAGCACCUUGACUAACCUUUGCAAGCAGCUUUGACCCAUCCACAAGUUCCAACAAGGUAUCCCCGUUUGAAGUGGCUUCAAUGUUUGCUAAUUGUGAAGAAAAUUGAAUGGUAUCCCGUGGUAGCUGACUAGCCAAGGUUUCCAAAAGCACUUUCCUCUCCACUGCACGUACCUCUUGACUGCAUUUCAUGACUUAAUAUUGGUCCUCACUUAUGCUUACGGCCUUAUCAUACCAAUAACCAGUGCUUGAUGACAAUUACAAAUUGCUCGUAGUUCCCUCCCAUCCUCGGACUUCACCACCAUCCUGUACAGCUGAUAAUGUGAACCAGAUCAAGCUCAGCCGGUAUACAGAUUAAAAAUGAUGAAAUUUUUCAAAAGGGUGUUCAUGUAUGCAUCCACGUACCCUUGAAUUUCUAAGAACUGAGUUCUGAGAUCAUCAGCUACUCCAAUUGCAUCGAGUACCCUCCAUCCAUUUUUGAAAAGGGUCAGUGAGGUUCCACCGGUUCGAAGUGACUCUGCCUGCUCCAGAACCAGGGACUGAACUCCAAGCCUGAUGCAUAAAUCAAACAUUAGCCCAGCACAGUGAAUAAACAAGAUGGUGGCUAUGAAGAGAGCUGGAAUUGUAACCUGUGAAGGGAGAGAGCAGUUGCAAGGCCUGCGAUCCCAGCACCCACGAUCACAACUUGUUCCUUUGGUACACCAGACUGAGAUUGAGCCUUGAUGACCCUGUAACUUCUGCGGGUUCCAAUUCCAUGUCCAAACCCAUCAAUGUUCCUGAAGACAAAGGACGAGGUUGUUGUAGCCAUAGAUGUUGUGAUAUGCUGUGAUAUGUUGAGAGAGGUACGCCAUAUUCAUCACGGUCGUGGGCGGAGAUAGGGGUGUGUAGUGUUCAGCCCUGGACCAUACAAACUAGUGGUGGAAAACAUCUCUUAUAAAAUGUACACUACCAGUCACAAUAUAGAUGUUUCUUAAAUUUCCAAAACUGCUACACAAAUGAUAAUAUUAUGUUUGA
Long non-coding RNA from Vigna angularis (adzuki bean), 3213 nucleotides. RefSeq lists it as uncharacterized. Lineage: Eukaryota; Viridiplantae; Streptophyta; Magnoliopsida; Fabales; Fabaceae. The transcript is spliced from 3 exons. The record is from RefSeq and is a predicted model, not a curated record.